Molecule: ribosomal RNA, 492 nt
Filed under: uncultured bacterium
Lineage: Bacteria
Description: partial 16S ribosomal RNA
Rfam family: Bacterial small subunit ribosomal RNA
Source: RNAcentral
AGUGAACGCUGGCGGUAUGCCUAACACAUGCAAGUCGAACGGCAGCACAGUAAGAGCUUGCUCUUACGGGUGGCGAGUGGCGGACGGGUGAGGAAUACAUCGGAAUCUACUUUUUCGUGGGGGAUAACGUAGGGAAACUUACGCUAAUACCUCAUACGACCUACGGGUGAAAGCAGGGGAGCUUCGGACCUUGCGCGAUUGAAUGAGCCGAUGUCGGAUUAGCUAGUUGGCGGGGUAAAGGCCCACCAAGGCGACGAUCCGUAGCUGGUCUGAGAGGAUGAUCAGCCACACUGGAACUGAGACACGGUCCAGACUCCUACGGGAGGCAGCAGUGGGGAAUAUUGGACAAUGGGCGCAAGCCUGAUCCAGCAAUACCGCGUGGGUGAAGAAGGCCUUCGGGUUGUAAAGCCCUUUUGUUGGGAAAGAAAAGCAGCAGGUUAAUACCCCGCUGUUCUGACGGUACCCAAAGAAUAAGCACCGGCUAACUUCGUG